UGCGCAGGCGGGCUAUUAAGUCAGUGGUGAAAUCUCUCGGCUCAACCGAGAAACUGCCAUUGAAACUGAUAGUCUUGAGUAUGGUUGUGGUAGGCGGAAUAUAGCAUGUAGCGGUGAAAUGCUUAGAUAUGCUAUAGAACACCGAUCGCGAAGGCAGCUUACCAAGCCAUUACUGACGCUCAUGCACGAAAGCGUGGGGAGCAAACAGGAUUAGAUACCCUGGUAGUCC
This 229-nucleotide ribosomal RNA is filed under the name uncultured bacterium. RNAcentral's name for it is "partial 16S ribosomal RNA". It matches the Rfam family "Bacterial small subunit ribosomal RNA", at positions 568 to 796 of the family's 1533-position model. The record is from RNAcentral.